RNAcentral lists this ribosomal RNA (425 nucleotides) under uncultured bacterium. Its description in RNAcentral is "partial 16S ribosomal RNA". It matches the Rfam family "Bacterial small subunit ribosomal RNA", at positions 354 to 796 of the family's 1533-position model. The record is from RNAcentral.
GUAGGGAAUAUUAGAAAUGGACGAAAGUCUGAUCUAGCAACACCGCGUGUGCGAAGAAGGCCUUCGGGUCGUAAAGCACUUUUUGGAAGGAAUAGGAAGGAAUGUACUUCCAGAAUAAGUCUCGGCUAACUACGUGCCAGCAGCCGCGGUAACACGUAGGAGGCAAACGUUAUCCGGAUUUACUGGGCGUAAAGCGCGUGUAGGUGGUACUGUAAGUAGGGCGUGAAAGCUCCUGGCUCAACUGGGAGAGGCCGUUCUAAACUACAGAACUAGAGGAUGGUAGAGGGAGGUGGAAUUCCAGGUGUAGCGGUGGAAUGCGCAGAUAUCUGGAGGAACACUGGUGGCGAAGGCGGCCUCCUGGACCAUUCCUGACACUCAGACGCGAAAGCUAGGGUAGCAAACGGGAUUAGAAACCACUGUAGUCC